CUGCUAGUUCGCACGAGUUCAGACUCGUGGCGAAUAGCUCAGUAACACGUGGCCAAACUACCCUUCGGAACCCAAUACCCUCGGGAAACUGAGGCUAAUAUUGUAUACCAUAUCCAUCCACCUGGAAUGAGUGGUGUGCCAAACGCUCCGGCGCCGAAGGAUGUGGCUGCGGCCGAUUAGGUAGACAGUGGGGUAACGGCCCACCGUGCCCAUAAUCGGUACGGGUUGUGAGAGCGAGAGCCCGGAGACGGAAUCUGAGACAAGAUUCCGGGCCCUACGGGGCGCAGCAGGCGCGAAACCUUUACACUGCACGAGAGUGCGAUAAGGGGACUCCAAGUGCAGAGGGCAUAUCGUCCGCGCUUUUCACGACCGUAAGGUGGUCGUAGAAUAAGGGCUGGGCAAGACCGGUGCCAGCCGCCGCGGUAAUACCGGCAGCACGAGUGAUGACCGAUCUUAUUGGGCCUAAAGCGUCCGUAGCUGGCCACGCAAGUCUAUCGGGAAAUCCGCGCGCUUAACGCGUGGGGCGUCCGGUGGAAACUGCGUGGCUUGGGACCGGAAGACCAGAGGGGUACGUCCGGGGUAGGAGUGAAAUCCCGUAAUCCUGGACGGACCACCGAUGGCGAAAGCGCCUCUGGAAGACGGAUCCGACGGUGAGGGACGAAAGCUCGGGUCACGAACCGGAUUAGAUACCCGGGUAGUCCUGAGCUGUAAACGAUGUCUGCUAGGUGUGGCACACGCUACGAGUCGUGUGCUGUGCCGUAGGGAAACCGCUGAAGCAGACCGCCUGGGAAAGUACGUCCGCAAGGAUGAAACUUAAAGGAAUUGGCGGGGGAGCACUACAACCGGAGGAGCCUGCGGUUUAAUUGGAC
RNAcentral lists this ribosomal RNA (869 nucleotides) under Natrinema pallidum. RNAcentral's name for it is "bacterial SSU rRNA". It matches the Rfam family "Archaeal small subunit ribosomal RNA", at positions 51 to 911 of the family's 1478-position model. Lineage: Archaea; Methanobacteriati; Methanobacteriota; Halobacteria; Halobacteriales; Natrialbaceae. The record is from RNAcentral.